UUCUGCUGGUGGGAGGGAAACCAGGGACCCGAGCCCACUGGUGACGUUUCUUUCACGUGAUCAGAAGCCGACGUGUGCAGAAGUCCCUCUCCUCCAGGUACCAGCUCCCCAUUUCCGUGGAGAAAGAUUUCAGACUGAGGGACAGAGCGGCAACUGCCCUAGAGCCCUGCAGGUCUUCAGGUCUGUGGUUGUAGGCACCAACCCAGACAAGAGAGGAAAAGACCUGCAGGACCAGUGCAGGACAGGC
Molecule: long non-coding RNA, 247 nt
Filed under: Ursus americanus (American black bear)
Lineage: Eukaryota; Metazoa; Chordata; Mammalia; Carnivora; Ursidae
Description: lncRNA (ENSUAMG00000008352.1)
Source: RNAcentral